Brachypodium distachyon (stiff brome) is the source of this 125-nucleotide non-coding RNA. Lineage: Eukaryota; Viridiplantae; Streptophyta; Magnoliopsida; Poales; Poaceae. The record is from Rfam.
UCACUACUCCCUCCGUUCCAUAAUUCUUGUCGAAAUAUUACAUGUAUGUAGACAUUUUUUAGGAAUAGAUACAUCCAUUUUAAGGCAAAUUUGAGACAAGAAUUAUGAAACGGAGGGAGUACUAU